This 879-nucleotide ribosomal RNA is filed under the name marine metagenome. RNAcentral's name for it is "bacterial SSU rRNA". It matches the Rfam family "Bacterial small subunit ribosomal RNA", at positions 630 to 1520 of the family's 1533-position model. The record is from RNAcentral.
AAACUUUUCAGCUAGAGUAUGAUAGAGGAAAGCAGAAUUUCUAGUGUAGAGGUGAAAUUCGUAGAUAUUAGAAAGAAUACCAAUUGCGAAGGCAGCUUUCUGGAUCAUUACUGACGCUGAGGAACGAAAGCAUGGGUAGCGAAGAGGAUUAGAUACCCUCGUAGUCCAUGCCGUAAACGAUGUGUGUUAGACGUUGGAAAUUUAUUUUCAGUGUCGCAGCGAAAGCGAUAAACACACCGCCUGGGGAGUACGACCGCAAGGUUAAAACUCAAAUGAAUUGACGGGGACCCGCACAAGUAGUGGAGCAUGUGGUUUAAUUCGAAGAUACGCGCAGAACCUUACCAACACUUGACAUGUUCGUCGCGACUUUAAGAGAUUAAAGUUUUCGGUUCGGCCGGACGAAACACAGGUGCUGCAUGGCUGUCGUCAGCUCGUGUCGUGAGAUGUUGGGUUAAGUCCCGCAACGAGCGCAACCCUCACUUUUAGUUGCCAUCAUUAAGUUGGGCACUCUGAAAGAACUGCCAGUGAUAAGCUGGAGGAAGGUGGGGAUGACGUCAAGUCCUCAUGGCCCUUACGUGUUGGGCUACACACGUGCUACAAUGGUAUCUACAACAGGAAGCAAGACGGCGACGUUAAGCAAAUCCUUAAAAGAUACCUCAGUUCGGAUUGCACUCUGCAACUCGAGUGCAUGAAGCUGGAAUUACUAGUAAUCGUGGAUCAGCGUGCCACGGUGAAUGCGUUCCCGGGUCUUGUACACACCGCCCGUCACACCAUGGGAGUUGGUUCUACCUUAAGGCAAGGUUUCAAACCCUUGACCACGGUAUAGUCAGCGACUGGGGUGAAGUCGUAACAAGGUAGCCGUAGGGGAACCUGCGGCUG